Molecule: long non-coding RNA, 1312 nt
Organism: Scatophagus argus
Lineage: Eukaryota; Metazoa; Chordata; Actinopteri; Scatophagidae
Exons: 4
Source: RefSeq, a predicted model, not a curated record
UAGAUGUGGCAUGCUGGUUUACGGCAUUCGCCAUUUUGGUUUUAAGUCAAGCACCAAGUUUUUGUUUGGACCACACUUCUGAUGUCUGCUGUAGCUGUCGUCAGGAAAAUACACAAGGACUAUGAUAAACCAUAAACGAACCCAGAUUAUUGUGGUUAUUUUCAGCUCUGUAACCACAUGAGGAGCUCCAGGUUUUGGCACGUCAGCGGUGCCUUUAUUUUCCAGCCCCGGCGGUUGCUGCUUGGUCUCCACACUGGCGUGAUGAUACGCAACCCGGUGGUCAAAGCUGAACUGCUGUGAGAUCCUGGAGCAGCUGGAGGCUGCAGACUCUGCUGUCUGCUCGUCUGCGGUGUCCUCAGCUUCAGCAUGGCGCCUCAUUUUGAGUCUUCCUCCUGCAAAUUACCUGAAUGAGGGUCACAACACAAACAAAGAUGUGUCGCCGAAGAUCAAGUCGAGUCGAAAGUCAAGUUGAGUGUAGCUGCACAUAGACUGAUCUUCCUGCAGAAACAUUUGGCACAACACACACUGCAAAUAAGAACGUCUGUGGAGCUUCAGAUAUUGUCUUUACUCCUGUGCUCUGCUGCCCUUUGGUCGUUCUAAAAAUAUUGUCAGAGGACAUUUAUUUCCUUUUAACAGGAUGUCGUCAUACAAACAUAGAUUAACCAAGUGCAGUCAGAUUGGUUCACUCAAGGAAGUUUCAUAUUACACUGAGCACAGCUUUCUUUGUGCUUUUCUCAUGUAACCACACGCGUGUUUAGCACAUUUUGACAAGAUGCUAAAUCUGAGACUUUCAGAGGACAUUUUAAUGAUUUCAGCUGGUUCACAAAUGUCCUGGAACCAUUGCAUUGGCUUUCUGCACUGUAGAAGCUGGUGAGACUUGGACCAGCUUCAGAGUAUAUAAUAGAUCCCCUAACAGCCUGGGAGCCUGAUCAUGGACUUAGAUCCUUAACCUUUGAAGAUCAGACCCCCAAACACUGGAGGGGACUUUCUGUAGACACACAUCCCUACCAACUUUUAAGACACACCCAGUGAUCAUGUGGGUGUGAUUUCACUUUGGUCUUUAUCUAGAAAAACACAUACUCAAAUACUGCACUGUGAUUUGUUUUCUUUUUGCAGUUCCUAAUCCUGUUCGUGUGAUUUUUUAUGUUGCCUUUCAGUUGUGCCUUGUCUUCAUGCCCCUCUCGUGUCUUGAGUAAUGCACUUAAACGACCUUCUUGUUUAAAGGCGUGUCCUCAGUUUAUUUUUUGUUUCCUUUACUUGUUCGUGCUUCUGUCGUCACACCUGAUUAAAGAAAAGCUUGUUUAUCUGGUUC